This 262-nucleotide ribosomal RNA is filed under the name uncultured archaeon. RNAcentral's name for it is "partial 16S ribosomal RNA". It matches the Rfam family "Archaeal small subunit ribosomal RNA", at positions 748 to 1009 of the family's 1478-position model. The record is from RNAcentral.
UAGCCGUAAACGAUACUCGCUAGGUGUCGGCCACGGUGCGACCGUUGUCGGUGCCGUAGGGAAGCCGUGAAGCGAGCCACCUGGGAAGUACGGCCGCAAGGCUGAAACUUAAAGGAAUUGGCGGGGGAGCACAACAACGGGUGGAGCUUGCGGUUUAAUUUGGAUUCAACGCCGGAAAUCUUACCGGGACCGACAGCAACAUGAAGGCCAAGCUGAAGACUUUGCCGGGUUAGCUGAAAGGUGGUGCAUGGCGUAGUCGUGU